GUCCACGCCCUAAACGAUGCAUAUUUGGUGUGGGCAGUUCAUUCUGUCCGUGCCGGAGCUAACGCGUUAAAUAUGCCGCCUGGGGAGUACAGUCGCAAGGCUGAAACUCAAAGGAAUUGACGGGGGCCCGCACAAGCGGUGGAGCAUGUGGUUCAAUUCGACGCAACGCGAAGAACCUUACCUGGGGCUCGAACGGCUUCUCAACGCCGGUAGAAAUACUGGUACCCCGCAAGGGGGUGGAGUCGAGGUGCUGCAUGGCUGUCGU
This 265-nucleotide ribosomal RNA is filed under the name uncultured bacterium. RNAcentral's name for it is "partial 16S ribosomal RNA". It matches the Rfam family "Bacterial small subunit ribosomal RNA", at positions 793 to 1055 of the family's 1533-position model. The record is from RNAcentral.